UACAGAGGGGGCAAGCGUUAUUCGGAAUUAUUGGGCGUAAAGGGCGCGUAGGCGGCCUGGCAAGUGGAAGGUGAAAUCCCUCGGCUUAACCGAGGAACUGCCCUCCAAACUGCUUGGCUUGAGUCCGGGAGAGGUGAGUGGAAUUCCCAGUGUAGCGGUGAAAUGCGUAGAUAUCUGGAGGAACACCGGUGGCGAAGGCGGCAUCCUGGACCAACACUGACGCUGAGGAGCGAAAGCCAGGGGAGCAAACGGG
This 253-nucleotide ribosomal RNA is filed under the name uncultured bacterium. RNAcentral describes it as "partial 16S ribosomal RNA". It matches the Rfam family "Bacterial small subunit ribosomal RNA", at positions 524 to 776 of the family's 1533-position model. The record is from RNAcentral.